Astyanax mexicanus (Mexican tetra) is the source of this 1894-nucleotide long non-coding RNA. RefSeq lists it as uncharacterized. The record is from RefSeq and is a predicted model, not a curated record. The transcript has 2 exons. Lineage: Eukaryota; Metazoa; Chordata; Actinopteri; Characiformes; Acestrorhamphidae.
GUGUAGCAGGUUGGGUUUGUUACCCCACCUAUACUGCUGGUGAAGCUGUGUGGCUGCUUUAAAUUACUGGGCGGCCCCUUUGUACUCUAUAUAUGGGUAGGGGAUGACUAUUCAUGGUGCACUUCCUGUUCCCCCUCCUCAUUGCUCCGGGCUCUGACUUCCGUGCCGGCAGCGUUCAGCGUGGAGUUUAGCGUGAUUGUUUGGGUUACUUCUCAAGAGUUUCAGUUGCGGGCUCGUGGUGUUAUUGCCAGUCCAGCGCGGCUGUGUGUCUCUGACUGUGUCAGUGCAGUUUCACUUUCACUAAGGUAUGCCUGCUCCUCUUUGUGUAUGUUUUGGCUGUGUAUAUGGCGUUUAGCUAACUUUUAUUUCUUGGGUUGGGGGUUAGUGAUGGUGACUGUGCUGCUUUGCUGUAGCCAUUGUUCUGCUGGAGCUGCUUUGCUGUAGCCAUUGUCUGCUGGAGCUGCUGUUUGCCCUAGCCAUUACCUGCUGCUGUGUGCUGUGGUCAUUGUCUGCUAUAGCUGCUGGGAGAAACUGAUGCUCUAUACUGGUAUGUAUAUAAGCUGCAUUUAUUUUAUAUUGAGUAUUAGUUAAAUUAAUUGUAGCUUGGUGCAUUUUUUUUUUAUAGGUUUUAGUGUCCAGAUUGUGCUGACUGAUUCCAGCCUCCCCACAGUGCUGCUGUUUUGCCUGAGUUUAUUUAGUUUUGUUUCAUUAAUUUUCAUUUGCUCCUAGUUAUUUUGAGUUUUUGUCUUGCUUUUCUUCAUUUCAUUUGUUAAAUCAGCUUUGAUUUGCCUUUAGUUAUUUUGAUAUUUUGUUGUAUUGAUUUUCUUUUGUCUUUAUUUUGAGUUAAGAUUUGCUGGAGUUUAUUCUUAUGUAUUUUUUUCUUUAUUGGAUUAAAAUUAUAUUUCUGCUUUAUUUUUGAUUUGCUGGUUUGGACCUUUGAGGUUUAUUCUGGCUUAUUAAUUUGGGAUUUGCUUUGACUUAAUUUCAGGUUUAUUCCUGAUUUAUUAAUUUGGGUUUGCUUUUGAUUGAUUUCUUUUUGAUUUAUUUCUGAUUUAUUUUGUGGAGUUUUUUUUAUUGGAUUAAAUUAAUAUUUUUGCUUUAUUUCUGAUUUGCUGUUUUGGACCUUUGAGGUUUAUUCUGGCUUAUUAAUUUGGGAUUUGCUUUGACUUAAUUUCGGGUUUAUUCAUGAUUUACUAAUUUGGGUUUGCUUUUGAUUUCUUUUUGGUCUAUUUCUGAUUUAUUGUGUGGAGUUGCUUUUGACCUAACCUCUGUUUAUUUAAUUUUUUUGCUGAGUUUGCUUCUGAUUUAAUUUAUUUUGCCAGAUUGAACUUUCAUUUGUCCAUUUACUUUAACAAAGUUUAAGUUUGUUUCUGUGUUUUUUGAAUUAACAAAAACAAGAACAGUGGUUGUGGAAUUCCCUUCUUGGCUGUGUGUUUGUCUUUUUAGUGUUGGAGUGGUAUAAGGUGAGGUUGUAAGAGACCAGGGCCCAUAAAAAGAUAAGUACAUUUCGAGCAAUUGUAAUUGGUCUCUCUCCCUUCACCGCUGGUAGCUUUUUAUAAUUGUUUUUUUCUUUGUGUCUCUUAGUUGGACCGGAGCUGUGGGCCAAAGCGGCGGGUUCGGGGAUGUGGAAUGCUGUUCACCUUUCCUGUAGUGUAGAGCACGCUGGGUGUUGAAAUGUGUGGUUUGUAGUGUUGACUAUUUCCUCUUCCUGUACUUUCUUCUGCCGUGGUAAGCCCUCAGCCCAGUUCCUCCCUAAAUUUGUUUUUAGUAAAGUAAAUUCUACUAUUUCUAGUUUUUAUACUGUUGUCCAAGAAGGGAGUUUCUGGUCUGCCCUGUGUGUGUGUGGAAAUAUGUUUUAAAAUAAUUGUCAAUAAAUUUUCCUUAACUGAUGGUA